Molecule: long non-coding RNA, 2506 nt
Filed under: Podarcis lilfordi (Lilford's wall lizard)
Lineage: Eukaryota; Metazoa; Chordata; Lepidosauria; Squamata; Lacertidae
Source: RNAcentral
UACAGCUUCCAUCAUCCCUGAACAUUGGCUAUGCUGGCUAGGGCUGAUGGGAGUUAUAGUCCAAAGCAACUGGAAGGUGCCAGGUUGGGGAAGGCUGAUCUAAGAAAUGCACUCCUACACCAUCCUUAAUAAGUCUCUUUCCUAUCAGAACACAUUGCAGAAGCUCCAGUCCUGACUCAAGCCUUCAAAGUGUUUUUGCUGGGGUUUAGAAACAGCACACCCUUUGAUGGGUUGUCUAUUCCCAACGGUUGCUUUAAACUUGAAGCAAUUGCAGGGAGAGAAAACAACUAAGUUCCAAGACCACACAUGCCCCCUUUGGUCCCAUGCUUCUGAGUCCAUUUCUCUGUCUUCCAAAGCAACCACUCUGGGAAAGGUUUCUUGAAGCCUACAGCUCCAUUUUGAUUCAUUGCCAUGGGAAUGGCAAUAUCUCCCAUGACUGACUUGAGAUUCAUGCUUCACCCCAGGGAACGCAUAUGGGUUCUGGCAUAAUGUCGGUAUGUUGUAACAAGUACAUGUUGAUUUGUUUGGAAGGCAUUAACCAUAGCUCCCGGUUUGCACAUAGUAGGAAGUGACAACUAACAAGGCUUCCUGAUUUGUAUCUCUGUUUGCACAAAGGGUGGCGCAAUGGCACUGUGUGCAACUUCACAUAUCUUCAUUUAUUAAGUGAGGAUUUGUCCUGACUAAUACUUAAAAGAGGCUUAUAAUGAUAUGUACUAGGCAGAGAAAGGGUGGCGUGGGGUUGAGAAACAAAGAGAAAGGAAAAUGGAAAUCAGUGGUUUACAAUGACUAGUGAAGACUCAAGCGGCAUUGAAGAUACUCCAUCAGAGACCUCAGUGGUGCUGCAAUAGUCUCCCUUAAUGCUGCACUGAUUGUUAAAUUAUUAAUUUAUUCUUUGUCUUUGAAAUACUCUGUGGACAUAAGCCCAUAAAGAUUGAAACAAUCUUCUUCCCAGGCAGUGAGAGAUACACCUCUGGGGAUGCACAGAAUUAUCUUUAAAUGACUAAUUCACACAUAAGCAUGAACUCAAAGGGGACUUGUGUGAAAACAAGUCCUCUUUGAUUAUCAGAGUGAAUAUGGAUUCCCCCCUGUGCAGCACAUUGAAAAGCUCUAAGGCAAGGAUAAAACAGUAUUUAUAAGCAAAAAUGUUCACACUUUUGAAGCAAGCCAUUUACUUAUUUCACAUCUGCCCUAUACAUUUAAAGCAGUACCGCACCACUUUAAAUAGCCGUAACUUUCCCCUCCUCCCACACAAACAAUCUGGGCAUUUCAUGUUCCAAUACAAAACCAUGUUCAAGGACAUCUGGAGUUUAGGACAACUUCUCUGUGCCUGUCCAUUACAUCAUGAUGGACUGGACUGGACUGGGUGGUGUAGUCACAUUCUGGAUGUCCUAGUGUUCUUGUUUGGGUGAGGACAUUGGGGUUUAAUUGGUACCUUCUUUGUGGCCAAAUGCAGAGGCUGAUGAUGAAUGGUGGCAGCAGAAUGGCCUGGAAUGCUAUAAGGUAUGUCCAUUUCAUUGCUGUACAAGAAAUUAUGGUCACCUCUGCUUGAGAUUAGGAUUGUUGACUACAUUUGUGCUAGCAUUAGCCUUGCCAGAAGAGCUGCCCAGCGUAGCAGAACUAUAGGAUUUCCAUAUUUAGAGUGUGAUACUGGCAAACUGAACUCAUUAAAGGUUUUGCAAGUGUAAGACCUUUCAAACACUUAUAUGUGGUUCCAGAAUUUGCAUGUACUGAUUUUAAACAGCAGCAGCAGAGCCAUUACUAAUCACCUGAGGCUGGCCUUGUGUGCCACUGCAUUAAAUAAUGUAGCAUUGUGCUGAGGCAAGCAGGCCUGGUGAAAGAUUCCGAUCUCAUUUUUUGUUCCACUGCAAGCCUCUCUUUUCUGCUCUCGCAUCACAAAAUGGACACAAUUCUAUUAACCUAAGGCUGUAUACAGAUUAUUAUGUCGGUAGAGCAACAAGAGCACUAGCUCAGCUCCACCAUUGGUAGUUUGAUAACUGCACAAAUGUAAUGGCAUGGGGAAACCUUGCUGCACUGCAGAGGAAUGGCCAGUUCAGUCUGUUUUCCUCAUUAUAGCUACUUCCUCUUAUCCCACACAAACUAAUAGAGUGGUAAAAUUGAAUAGACUGGGUUGUAAACAGCUUUUUUUGUCCAAUCAAUUUCACUCCAAAGGGAAUCUUCUAAAAGAGGGAAAGGGAGAGGGAGAGGGAGAGGGAGAAAAAGAAAGAAAGAAAGAAAGAAAGAAAGAAAGAAAGAAAGAAGAGUUUGGAUUUGAUAUCCUGCUUUAUCACUACCCGAAGGAGUCUCAAAGCGGCUAACAAUCUCCUUUCCCUUCCUCCCCCACAACAAACACUCUGUGAGGUGAGUGGGGCUGAGAGACUUCAGAGAAGUGUGACUAGCCCAAGGUCACCCAGAAGCUGCAUGUGGAGGAGCGGAGACGCGAACCCGGUUCCCCAGAUUACGAGACUACCACUCUUAACCACUACACCACACUGGCUCUCCACACUGG